This 356-nucleotide long non-coding RNA is filed under the name Homo sapiens (human). Its description in RNAcentral is "HSALNT0348656". Lineage: Eukaryota; Metazoa; Chordata; Mammalia; Primates; Hominidae. The record is from RNAcentral.
UGAUUAACCCUGUGAAUUUCCUUCUCCUGGCUCAGAAGCUCCCCCACUGAGCACCUUGUGACCCCCGCCCCUGCCCACCAGAGAACAACCCCCUUUGACUACGCGCAUGAAAUUUGGUGCUGUGACUCGGAUCGGGGGACCUCCCUUGGGAGAUCAAUCCCCUGUCCUCCUGUUCUUUGCUCCGUGAGAAAGAUCCACCUACGACUCAGGUCCUCAGACCGACCAGCCCAAGGAACAUCUCACCAAUUUUAAAUCAGGUAAGCGGCCUCUUCUUACUCUCUUUCUCCAACCUCUCUCACUGUCCCUCAACCACUUUCUUCUUUCCACUCUUCAUUCUCUCCCUUCUCUUAAUUUCA